Tupaia belangeri (northern tree shrew) is the source of this 288-nucleotide unclassified non-coding RNA. Its record names the gene 7SK. It matches the Rfam family "7SK RNA". Rfam says of the family: 7SK was discovered as an abundant small nuclear RNA in the mid-70s but a possible function has only recently been suggested. The record is from Ensembl. NCBI's taxonomy places the organism in Eukaryota, Metazoa, Chordata, Mammalia, Scandentia, Tupaiidae.
GGGAAUGAGGGCCAUAUGGCUGCACCAUCUGUCACCCCACAGAUCUUCAGAGUUGAUUCAGCUGAUCUAGAUGGCUAAGCAGGUAUCCCCUUCCUCCCUCAUUGCUCCAUGUACAUGAAGAGAAGACUGUUCUUUGGCCAAAGACAUAGGAGAAACUGUACUCCCCUCCUAGAAUUUCCAAACAAGCUCUCAAGGCUGCCCAAGGACACUCCACUGAGUCACUAAGGAGUAUCUCAAAAGCUGAAGGGAGGUCUCAGAGAAGAGAUUGGCCCUGAGCUACCUUCAGCA